This 433-nucleotide unclassified non-coding RNA is filed under the name soil metagenome. RNAcentral describes it as "partial contains 5.8S ribosomal RNA, internal transcribed spacer 2, and large subunit ribosomal RNA". The stretch from base 1 to 120 matches the Rfam family "5.8S ribosomal RNA", at positions 35 to 154 of the family's 154-position model. The record is from RNAcentral.
GAUGAAGAACGUAGCGAAAUGCGAUACGUAAUGUGAAUUGCAGAAUUCAGUGAAUCAUCGAAUCUUUGAACGCAUAUUGCGCUCUCUGGUAUUCCGGAGAGCAUGCUUGUUUGAGUAUCAGUAAACACCUCAACUUCCAUAUCUUUUUUGAAAUGGGAGUUGGACUUGAGUGAUCCCAACGCUUUUCCUCACCGAAAAGUGGCGGGUUACUUGAAAUGCAGGUGCAGCUGGACUUUUCUCUGAGCUAUAAGCAUAUCUAUUUAGUCUGCCUAAAAAACAGAUUAUUACCUUUGCUGCAGCUAACAUAAAGGAGAUUAGUUCUUGUGCUGACUGAUGCAGGAUUCACAAAGACAGGCUUCGGCCGACUUUGUAAACUCGAUCUCAAAUCAAGUAAGACUACCCGCUGAACUUAAGCAUAUCAAUAAGCGUAGGA